RNAcentral lists this microRNA precursor (76 nucleotides) under Callithrix jacchus (white-tufted-ear marmoset). Its description in RNAcentral is "mir-320 microRNA precursor family". It matches the Rfam family "mir-320 microRNA precursor family". Lineage: Eukaryota; Metazoa; Chordata; Mammalia; Primates; Cebidae. The record is from Rfam by way of RNAcentral.
UAAAUAAAUAAGCUUCUCUUCCCGGUUCUUCCAGGAGUUGGGAAAAGCUGGGUUGAGAGGGCAAAAAUAAAUAAAU